CGCAGAGUACAUGGGGGGAGGUCCGUAGCUACUGCGUGGGCCGGUACUGGCAGGGAUCCGGUCUGCUUCCCUGCUACCCGCUC
This 83-nucleotide non-coding RNA is filed under the name Bombyx mori (domestic silkworm). Lineage: Eukaryota; Metazoa; Arthropoda; Insecta; Lepidoptera; Bombycidae. The record is from RNAcentral.